GCCCCCAUAGCUCAGAUGGUUAGAGCAGGGAACUCAUAAUUCUUUGGUCCCGGGUUCAAGUCCUGGUGGGGGCACCA
This 77-nucleotide transfer RNA is filed under the name Trueperella bernardiae. RNAcentral's name for it is "tRNA-Met". It matches the Rfam family "tRNA". From Rfam's summary of the family: Transfer RNA (tRNA) molecules are approximately 80 nucleotides in length. Their secondary structure includes four short double-helical elements and three loops (D, anti-codon, and T loops). Lineage: Bacteria; Bacillati; Actinomycetota; Actinomycetes; Actinomycetales; Actinomycetaceae. The record is from RNAcentral. RNAcentral also lists the same sequence under 2 other names.